GAAAUGCGAUAAGUAAUGUGAAUUGCAGAAUUCAGUGAAUCAUCGAAUCUUUGAACGCACCUUGCGCUCCUUGGUAUUCCUUGGAGCAUGCCUGUUUGAGUAUCAUGAAAUCUUCAAAGUAAAUCUUUUGUUAACUCAAUUGGUUUCUACUUUGGUAUUGGAGGUCUUUGCAGCUUCACACCUGCUCCUCUUUGUUCAUUAGCUGGAUCUCAGUGUUAUGCUUGGUUCCACUCGGCGUGAUAAGUUAUCUAUCGCUGAGGACACUGUAAAAGGUGGCCAAGGUAAAUGCAGAUGAACCGCUUCUAAUAGUCCAUUGACUUGGACAAUACUUUUAUGAUCUGAUCUCAAAUCAGGUAGGACCACCCGCUGAACUUAAGC
RNAcentral lists this unclassified non-coding RNA (378 nucleotides) under plant metagenome. RNAcentral's name for it is "partial contains 5.8S ribosomal RNA, internal transcribed spacer 2, and large subunit ribosomal RNA". The stretch from base 1 to 105 matches the Rfam family "5.8S ribosomal RNA", at positions 50 to 154 of the family's 154-position model. The record is from RNAcentral.